RNAcentral lists this transfer RNA (63 nucleotides) under Rheinheimera sp. Its description in RNAcentral is "tRNA-OTHER". It matches the Rfam family "tRNA". Rfam says of the family: Transfer RNA (tRNA) molecules are approximately 80 nucleotides in length. Their secondary structure includes four short double-helical elements and three loops (D, anti-codon, and T loops). Further hydrogen bonds mediate the characteristic L-shaped molecular structure. tRNAs have two regions of fundamental functional importance: the anti-codon, which is responsible for specific mRNA codon recognition, and the 3' end, to which the tRNAs corresponding amino acid is attached (by aminoacyl-tRNA synthetases). tRNAs cope with the degeneracy of the genetic code in two manners: having more than one tRNA (with a specific anti-codon) for a particular amino acid; and 'wobble' base-pairing, i.e. permitting non-standard base-pairing at the 3rd anti-codon position. The record is from RNAcentral. Lineage: Bacteria; Pseudomonadati; Pseudomonadota; Gammaproteobacteria; Chromatiales; Chromatiaceae.
GCGGGUGUAGUUCAAUGGCGGAAUGAAAGCUUCCCGCGGGUUCUAUUCCCGCCACCCGCUCCA